ACAGAUGGACGUUGAUUCUCCGGCGGAAUCGCCUUCGGAGACCGCGCAGCGGGCCUCGCCUUCUACGGGCGGGCUUCCGGCGCGUACGCCAGCGCAGGCUGCGGCAGCCGCGCAGGUCCAAGAAAUGCUUCGCGCGGCUCGCGACAAUCAAGUCCCCGCUCUUCAAGCGGAAUUAUCUUCCUUUAAGGGAGAGGUUCAUGGCAUUCUCGCCGAAUACGGCGAGCGCUUGGGCGAAAUAACCUCCGCCCUGAAGGAUGUGCAAGCGCAGCUUCGGGAUUUGUCACCUACGUCGCCGCCUCCGAGUACGUCGGACACUAGGCGUAAGACGAUAAUUAUUGAUGGCAUCUGCGAGACGUUGGACAGCAAUCUGGCCGCGUUUCUUGACGUGGAUAUGCUGCAGAAUUGCGCUUUCCAGGCGCUUCUGCAGCGCCACCUUAAUCCCGAAGUACGCUUGGAAGAGGUCAAGCAGCUCUGGGGCGGGGCAUCGCCAAGCAAGCCGGUGGUCCUUCCGGCUCGGCGGCCCCUCCUUCCAAGUCNNNNNNNNNNNNNNNNNNNNNNNNNNNNNNNNNNNNNNNNNNNNNNNNNNACAACAGCAAAUGUGAAGCCACGGGCUACAUGCCCUUCUACCUUGUGUAUGGCUGCCGUCCACGAAUGCCGGACGACUACGGCCUUCCACUCAAAAUGAAACAACACUGUAGCAGGCUACAUUUCCCUUAGAAUAUUUUAACGAUUACUUUUAACAAUAACUGUUAAUUUGUUAAACGAUCUGACUCAAGUUUCGUACAUGUUCCGAGUUUCGUCACAUGUCGCGAACUGGGCAGUUGUUCGUAAGCGAAUCUAACGGGCUGGGGCCCCGGGCCCCACCAACAUUAUCCUAGUACGGCAAGGUCCGUAGUAGAGAUUAUCCGGCAGGUAGGCCGAGAUAUAAGCUACCCGGGCGGGGUGUUCUGGCCAGACACUGACGUAUCACAUUACUAGGUGUUCGGAGUUCAAGACUCCGCUGCCGCCGUCUCUAACUGUUACGUACACAUCUUAUGUACGCUAGUGCUUGCCGCUUGGUUGGACUUCUUCCUACAACGACGAGGACCAAUAACUCCACGCUUCCGCUCUGUCAGUCCUCCCGUCAGGUGAGCGACUGCUACAUUGGUAUCGAGGGUCAAGUUCGAUCCUCCUUGACGCGAUGCGCUACAAUAAGGCCGCGCUAAAGCGUUUGACUAAAUUCCUUAAGCUUCAAAAAUUGUAUGAAAGGUACCGCGAAGCAUCCCUUCAGGAACAGGACCCUACUGCGCCCGAGGCUACUGAGUCCGACGACGAAGACGAACGCCCUUUGGCUAUUCCCAAUAAGGAACAUCAUAUUAAUAAUAUUCCUGUUGAUUGUCCACAGAUGGACGUUGAUUCUCCGGCGGAAUCGCCUUCGGAGACCGCGCAGCGGGCCUCGCCUUCUACGGGCGGGCUUCCGGCGCGUACGCCAGCGCAGGCUGCGGCAGCCGCGCAGGUCCAAGAAAUGCUUCGCGCGGCUCGCGACAAUCAAGUCCCCGCUCUUCAAGCGGAAUUAUCUUCCUUUAAGGGAGAGGUUCAUGGCAUUCUCGCCGAAUACGGCGAGCGCUUGGGCGAAAUAACCUCCGCCCUGAAGGAUGUGCAAGCGCAGCUUCGGGAUUUGUCACCUACGUCGCCGCCUCCGAGUACGUCGGACACUAGGCGUAAGACGAUAAUUAUUGAUGGCAUCUGCGAGACGUUGGACAGCAAUCUGGCCGCGUUUCUUGACGUGGAUAUGCUGCAGAAUUGCGCUUUCCAGGCGCUUCUGCAGCGCCACCUUAAUCCCGAAGUACGCUUGGAAGAGGUCAAGCAGCUCUGGGGCGAGGGCAUCGCCAAGCAAGCCGGUGGUCCUUCCGGCUCGGCGGCCCCUCCUUCCAAGUCUGCUCGUCCCUCCGAG
Molecule: long non-coding RNA, 1933 nt
Filed under: Volvox carteri
Lineage: Eukaryota; Viridiplantae; Chlorophyta; Chlorophyceae; Chlamydomonadales; Volvocaceae
Description: long non-coding RNA (VCAR_LNC003842)
Source: RNAcentral